AUUGAACGCUGGCGGCAGGCCUAACACAUGCAAGUCGAACGAGUGGCGGACGGGUGAGUAAUGUCUGGGAAACUGCCUGAUGGAGGGGGAUAACUACUGGAAACGGUAGCUAAUACCGCAUACCAUCAGAUGUGCCCAGAUGGGAUUCGCUGGUUGGUGGGGUAACGGCUCACCAAGGCGACGAUCCCUAGCUGGUCUGAGCGGAGGACCAUCCACACUGGAACUGAGAAACGGUCCAGAUUCCUACGGGAGGCAGCAGUGGGGAAUAUUGGACAAUGGGCGAAAGCCUGAUCCAGCCAUGCCGCGUGUGUGAAGAAGGUCUUCGGAUUGUAAAGCACUUUAAGUUGGGAGGCGUUACCAACAGAAUAAGCACCGGCUAACUUCGUGCCAGCCGCCGCGGUAAUUC
This 406-nucleotide ribosomal RNA is filed under the name uncultured bacterium. Its description in RNAcentral is "partial 16S ribosomal RNA". It matches the Rfam family "Bacterial small subunit ribosomal RNA", at positions 30 to 526 of the family's 1533-position model. The record is from RNAcentral.